RNAcentral lists this transfer RNA (74 nucleotides) under Allomicrovenator marinus. RNAcentral's name for it is "Microvenator marinus tRNA". It matches the Rfam family "tRNA". From Rfam's summary of the family: Transfer RNA (tRNA) molecules are approximately 80 nucleotides in length. Their secondary structure includes four short double-helical elements and three loops (D, anti-codon, and T loops). The record is from Rfam by way of RNAcentral. Lineage: Bacteria; Deltaproteobacteria; Bradymonadales; Allomicrovenatoraceae.
GCACUCGUAGCUCAAUUGGAUAGAGCAACGGUCUACGGAACCGUAGGUUAGAGGUUCGAGCCCUCUCGAGUGCA